Molecule: long non-coding RNA, 507 nt
Filed under: Manihot esculenta (cassava)
Lineage: Eukaryota; Viridiplantae; Streptophyta; Magnoliopsida; Malpighiales; Euphorbiaceae
Description: long non-coding RNA (MESC_LNC003534)
Source: RNAcentral
AUGCCAUGCAAUAUUAGGUUGUUUGCAUUAGAAUUCACGAAUAUGUUGCAUUGCAUACUUUGUUGUUGAUGUGGAUGAAUGUUGAAUGAUCCAUUAGCCCUUGUAUGUCAUGAUAGCCUAUGUGAGUCCAGGUGUGCCUGCUACGGCUCUACGCCCCUGGCACUAUGAUUGAUUAUGGAAGUCCGGGUGUGCCUGCUACGGCUCUACGCCCCCGGCAUGUAUAAGUAAGAAAGAUUGGGGCUAAAUGGUGACAAGUUCAUCCUUGUUGUGAAAUGUUUGUGUUAUGGCGCAUACAUGAAAGCAUGAAUAAGAAAAAGUUUAAUGAUAAUAAUAAUAAUAAAAUGAAUAAUAAUAUACCUAAAAAUGGUGGAAUUAAACAAAUGUUUUUAGUUUCUGCUCACUGGGCUCUAGUAGCUCACCCCACUCCCUUUAUCCCCAGAGUUGCAGGUACAGGUUAGAUCGAGAAGUCGGCUAGAGUGAAGUCAAGCCUUGUAUGUUGUAAUAGAU